This 445-nucleotide ribosomal RNA is filed under the name uncultured bacterium. RNAcentral's name for it is "SSU rRNA". It matches the Rfam family "Bacterial small subunit ribosomal RNA", at positions 26 to 518 of the family's 1533-position model. The record is from RNAcentral.
AGAAUGAACGCUGGCGGCAUGCCUAACACAUGCAAGUCGAACGAAACCUUCGGGUUUAGUGGCGCACGGGUGCGUAACGCGUGGGAAUCUGCCCCUUGGUUCGGAAUAACAGCGAGAAAUUGCUGCUAAUACCGGAUGAUGACGUAAGUCCAAAGAUUUAUCGCCGAGGGAUGAGCCCGCGUAGGAUUAGCUAGUUGGUGUGGUAAAGGCGCACCAAGGCGACGAUCCUUAGCUGGUCUGAGAGGAUGAUCAGCCACACUGGGACUGAGACACGGCCCAGACUCCUACGGGAGGCAGCAGUGGGGGAAUAUUGGACAAUGGGCGAAAGCCUGAUCCAGCAAUGCCGCGUGAGUGAUGAAGGCCUUAGGGUGUAAAGCUCUUUACCCGGGAUGAUAAUGACAGUACCGGGAGAAUAAGCUCCGGCUAACUCCGCGCCAGCAGCCGC